AUGUUCGCUACUCAUUAUUUUGACACCGUUUGCGCACCGUAGUUGAGAACGAAUGCCGUAAUAUAUUUUUUAUUUUUUAUAAAUUUAAAACAAUGUAUUUGACUCAAAGUUAUCAAAUAUUAUAUCUUACCUUAUUUUUAGUGAAAUUUUGAUUUUAAACCAAUUUUAAAUGUCAAAUUAAUCCAGAAUAUACGACAAUAAUAUUUACGCGGUAUUUCGCCUAUUUCCGGCAUUGUUUACAUUGACACCAGACGACAUCAGAAGACCCGUCAACAGAUCGUUUACCAGUAUAUUUGAACAUUUUUUAACCAUUUUACAUCAAACUUUUAUAUCUUAUUUACUUUUAAUAUACAUCGAUGCUAUUUUUAUAAGAUCAUUAUUCAAUGGGGAGGUUUAGACACGGAUUUUUGUCUUGUAAACAAAAACAGAAAAUUGCGUCAAUUAGGAAGGGUCAGAACAUCAGACAAACGGCUCGAACAGUAUUACUAGAUCAUGCAUAUACAACUUCAUAUCCAUCGUCUUCAUAUAAACAACCAGACCUGUCAAAUUUUAUAAAUGAGGAAGUCAUAGAUGAAAACAAUGUUAACAUAACAUCAGACGACAGCUGGAGAAAUGGAAGAAGGGUCGUAGAACUUGGGGUAUUGGCAGAUCAUCUCGCUGCGUGCAAACAAUGUGGUCUUCCGCUCUCUUUACAAAACUGUUUAAACAUAACAACAUGUGGCCUGGCUGCUGUCUUGAAAGUUUUAUGUGUCAACCAAAGUUGUAAAAACAUCAAUGCCAUACCAACAGGAAAACAGCACAACAGAAUAUGGGAUGUAAAUACAAAGUUAGCAACAGCAUCAAUUCAUACUGGUCUUGGUGAAAGGCAAGUAAAUGGUUUUCUAUCCACGCUAAAUAUACCUCCAGUUAGCCACAGAAUGUUUGACCAACGACAAAAUGAAAUUGGAACAAUUCUUGAAGAAAUUGCAGAGAAAUCGAUGAAGGAAUGGACAGAGAAAGAAAAGAGUAUGACGAAAGAAUGUAGUGGAAACGACGACAUAACCGUAGCAGUUGAUGCAGGGUGGCAAAAAAGAGGUAGUGGCAGAUCGUAUGAUAGUCUCACAGGUCAUUGCUCAAUGAUUGGAACAAGAACAGGCAUGAUAUUAGAUUAUAGUUUAAGAUCAAGAACAUGCAGAGUAUGUGUGACAGCUAGAAGGAUGAAAAAGAUACCUAAAGUACAUACUUGCAGAAAGAAUUAUAGUGGGAGUUCCAAAGCAAUGGAAGCUGACAUGGUAGUACAAAUGGUAGCUGAUGCAAGAAUAAAAGGCAAAUAGAACAGCUGGUCUUUCACCUGGUGUUCACACAUCCAAAGUUAGCGCGCUGAGAGAUCUCCAGUACAAAAAGAGAAAGGCAAUAGCGAUUACAAAGAAGGCUAAACUGAGAAGAUUAGAGUUGAAGACAGAACGUAAUCAAGAUAUAUCAAGCUGUGAAGUGAGGGAAGGAAUCAGUUACCAGUCAGGCAUAGAUAUGGAAGAAUCUAGAUUGGAUCCUGAAAACAUAACAGAAAUACCCCCUCCUAGAACUUCAAGAAUAGAAGCCUCACCAAAGCAUGAUUGUGUUACAGAAAUUUUCUUUGACAUAGAAGCUACAGGACUAAGUAGAUCAUCCCAUAUCACACAAUUAGCAGCAAAGAGUGCAGCAGAAUCUUUUUCCAGAUUUGUCCUACCCCAGCACCAAAUAACACCAAAGGCGGCAGAGAUUACUGGAUUGACAUUUGAGAAUGGGCAGUUAUUAUCAAAUGGAAAUGUGUUGCCUGCUGUCCAUAUCAAAAAGUGCCUCAAUGACUUUAUUUCUUUUCUUGAAAAAACUAAUAACAAUGUUUUAAUUGGCCAUAAUGUUCAAACAUAUGACUGUGUGUUAUUGUACACUUCACUACAAAAAUGUAAUUUGCUUGAUAAAUUCAAGUCAACUGUGAUAGGCUUUAUUGACACAUUGCCAUUAUUUAAACUUUCUCAUCCAGGUCUGAAUUCUUAUUCACAGACAAAUUUGUUUGAAACAUUUAUGAGCAAAUCAUAUGAAGCCCACAGGGCUGAUGAAGAUGUUGAUGCACUAUGCACACUUGUCAAUAAGAAAAUUGAGUUAAAUGUUCAUUUUGAAAAAGUAUAUAUACCAGAAUGUGUCAUAUCAGACAAAUUCAAUUCUAUGAAAGAAUUGCAUAAAAAUUUGCCUUCUUUGAAGCUGUUGAUUGAUCGUAAGAUACUUUCAUUAGGAAUGGCACGUAUUAUUGCCAGUAGUGGACUGUGCUUAGAGCACUUGAAGUUGGCCUUUUCUAGGAAUGGUUGUAAAGGUAUAAAAGAUCUUUUCACAGAAAAGAGUGGUUCAGGUGUACGUGUCACAAAAUCAGAAAAGAUCAUAAGACAGGUUUCAGAUUUUUUGAAAGAAUGAUGUCAUUUUCAUGAACUUUUUGAUGUUGUUUUGAAUGUUUUUCAGUCCUUAGUUAUAUAUUUUUUAUGAAAAAAGGUCUUUGUUGUACCUAGUAUACAGUGAUCUAGAUUUAAAACAAAUUGUUUGGUUAAAAAAGAUAACAGUAUUUGAUAAAUUGACAUAUAUGUUAUGAAAAAUGUCUAAAUUUAAAUUUAGCGUAGUUUUUCAUGGAAUUUUGAUUUUUUUUCAGCUCUAAUUCAAAAUUUUGCACAUUGACCUAUACUUUUCUAUUAAUAAUAUCUUAAAAUAAAGUCUUGUGAAUUAUUUCUGAAUUGUUUUGAAAAUUUCUUGUUAUUUUAUAAAGGUUAAAUCAAAGGUUUCAUUUUGAUGUCAUUCUCUUUCCCGUACUUUUUUGUUUAUUUUUUUAUUACGGGAAAAACACAUUGACUAUAUGCCUUGAAUGCACAAUUUUUGUAGAAAUUGAAAUAAAGGUAUAUUUUUAUUGAUAUUAGAAUUAAAUAUAUUUACAUUUGUAUGAAUUGUUGUUGUAAUUGAAACUUCAAUGCAGAUGUUCCAAUUCUUUGAAAAUACCGGAUUUUUCAAUACUGACAUUAUGAGUGACCAUAAAUGCCAUCCUUACGAAAAAUAUAGCGCAUUGACCUAUAUUUUUUUUUUCAUUUUUCCACUCCCAUAUGAAAGGAGUUAUAAAAAAACACAACAGGAAAACUUUCUUGUUAUUUUGAAUUUCAGUAGCGA
RNA transcript from Mytilus trossulus (common blue mussel), 3159 nucleotides. RefSeq lists it as uncharacterized. The record is from RefSeq and is a predicted model, not a curated record. Lineage: Eukaryota; Metazoa; Mollusca; Bivalvia; Mytilida; Mytilidae. The transcript is spliced from 7 exons.